This 471-nucleotide ribosomal RNA is filed under the name uncultured bacterium. RNAcentral's name for it is "bacterial SSU rRNA". It matches the Rfam family "Bacterial small subunit ribosomal RNA", at positions 26 to 507 of the family's 1533-position model. The record is from RNAcentral.
CGAGGACGAACGCUGGCGGCGUGCUUAACACAUGCAAGUCGAACGAUGAUGCUGGAGCUUGCUCCAGUUGAUUAGUGGCGAACGGGUGAGUAACACGUGAGCAAUCUGCCCUUGACUCUGGGAUAACUGCGGGAAACUGUAGCUAAUACCGGAUACGAGGCUCGAAGGCAUCUUCGGGUCUGGAAAGAAUUUCGGUCAAGGAUGAGCUCGCGGCCUAUCAGCUUGUUGGUGAGGUAAUGGCUCACCAAGGCGACGACGGGUAGCCGGCCUGAGAGGGUGACCGGCCACACUGGGACUGAGACACGGCCCAGACUCCUACGGGAGGCAGCAGUGGGGAAUAUUGCACAAUGGGCGCAAGCCUGAUGCAGCAACGCCGCGUGAGGGAUGAAGGCCUUCGGGUUGUAAACCUCUUUUAGCAGGGAAGAAGCGAAAGUGACGGUACCUGCAGAAAAAGCACCGGCUAACUACGUG